This 301-nucleotide ribosomal RNA is filed under the name uncultured bacterium. RNAcentral describes it as "partial 16S ribosomal RNA". It matches the Rfam family "Bacterial small subunit ribosomal RNA", at positions 509 to 807 of the family's 1533-position model. The record is from RNAcentral.
CAGCAGCCACGGGAAUACGAAGGGGGCUAGCGUUGCUCGGAAUGACUGGGCGUAAAGGGCGCGUAGGCGGCGAUCAAAGUCAGGCGUGAAAUUCCUGGGCUCAACCUGGGGGCUGCGCUUGAUACUUAGUUGCUUGAGUGGGGAAGAGGGUCGUGGAAUUCCCAGUGUAGAGGUGAAAUUCGUAGAUAUUGGGAAGAACACCGGUGGCGAAGGCGGCGACCUGGUCCUUGACUGACGCUGAGGCGCGAAAGCGUGGGGAGCAAACAGGAUUAGAUACCCCUGUAGUCCCUGUCUCUUAUAC